CGUAGGGGGCAAGCGUUGUCCGGAUUUACUGGGCGUAAAGAGCGCGUAGGCGGACGUUUAAGUGUGGUCUGAAAGCCCCCGGCUCAACCGGGGAUGCGGAUUGCAUACUGGACGUCUUGAGGGGGAUAGAGGAAGGUGGAAUUCCUGGUGUAGCGGUGAAAUGCGUAGAGAUCAGGAGGAACACCCGUGGCGAAGGCGGCCUUCUGGGUCCGCCCUGACGCUGAGGCGCGAAAGCGUGGGGAGCGAACGGGAUUAGAUACCCCGGUAGUCCACGCCGUAAACGAUGAUCACUAGGUGUGUGCGGUAUCGACCCCGCACGUGCCGCAGCUAACGCAAUAAGUGAUCCGCCUGGGGAGUACGGCCGCAAGGUUG
Molecule: ribosomal RNA, 372 nt
Filed under: uncultured organism
Description: bacterial SSU rRNA
Rfam family: Bacterial small subunit ribosomal RNA
Source: RNAcentral